CUGGUCAACAGAGAGAGACUCUGUCUCAAAAAAAAGAAAGAAAAGAUUUCUGAUGUGCUAAACAAACUUUUGGAGACAAAUUAGCAGCAUGACUAAUUUAGCCAUUGCUGUCAGUUACCUUCAGACAAGU
Molecule: small nucleolar RNA, 130 nt
Organism: Homo sapiens (human)
Lineage: Eukaryota; Metazoa; Chordata; Mammalia; Primates; Hominidae
Source: Ensembl